RNAcentral lists this long non-coding RNA (6754 nucleotides) under Olea europaea subsp. europaea. The stretch from base 4002 to 4108 matches the Rfam family "Plant small nucleolar RNA R71". Lineage: Eukaryota; Viridiplantae; Streptophyta; Magnoliopsida; Lamiales; Oleaceae. The record is from RNAcentral.
AAAAAAACGCGCCCUAAAUCGCCAAUCGCAGCGCCUAGGCGCUGGCUAUAGCGCCUGGGCGCUGUGUCUUCAGCGCCUAGGCGCUGGUGGUAGCGCCUGGGCGCUAUGGUUGUAGCACCUAGGCGCUGCCUCUCGGGUCCAAUUUUCAUCUUUUCUUCGUUUCGUAGCGCCUAGGCGCUAUAAGUGCAGCGCCUAAGUGCCAUCUUUCUGCUCCAAUUCCGUGUUUUUGGCCUCUUCAUCCACUUUAAUACUUAUUUUCUCAUUGCUUCUCCUUAUCUUCAACACAACACUAACAAACACAUCAAAAACGUUCUACACUCAUAAAAUCUAGUAUUUAAUGAAGCUAAAAUUGUGCGAAAACCAUGAGUGAAACAAACUCAUCAAAUACCCCCAAACUAAACCAUUUGCUAGUUCUCGAGCAAACACUAAAACCCAUAAGAAUAAUUAACGGACACACAAGCACAAUCAAGACAAACAAAAUCACUAAAAAUAAAUUUCGCUAGAUAACUUGCCUUCAUGUCUUAGAAUUAAAAACAUAACUUCGAUUCCAUGAACCACUUCAAAGCUAUAAUGCAAAAGUUAAAUUCUCACUUAUUCUAUGCAAAACGGGUGUGUGUGUGGAGAGUCAAGUGCAACGCUAUACAAUAAUAAGUUGACCCAAUCCCAACCUUAGAAGUCAAAUUUUUCCUUACCUUGCUCGUGGGAUUCACACACCCCCAAACUUAUUUUCUUUUCUCUUUCCAAGGGUGUAACCUAAGGUUAAAUUUUCAAUACUAAUUUCUUACACCGCUCAAGUUUGGUUAGAUUUUACUGAUUGUAGUUCCACAUGUCAACAAAUGAGGAUUCUCCUUUUUUUUUUGAUUGCUUCAACCUCUAGGAAUCAACCAAAUUACUAACCCCUUAUCAAAGGUCUAAUCCUCUAAAACAAGUGUUCGGGGCUUAAUCAACUUCUUUUUUUUAUUCUUUUUUUAUUACUUUUUUUUAUAGAUGUCUUUAUUCUUUAAUCACUCUUUGUGCGAACGUCUCUCCCUUAAGCUUUCUAAAUGACCCCUGUAGCGAGCUUUAGGCCGAUGACUCCCAAAUCAGAUGACUUUAGGGCACCAGGUUUUAAACCCUUACAGGCUUAAUCACUCAAGUCAUAAAGGUUACGAAGAGACGAUUUACAAUGAGAUUAUUAAAGUUGUCCUCAUUGGGAUCUUUUUUUUUUUUUUUGCGGUGAUUAGUGCAAUGCCCCUUAUUAAACACCUAUCCUAGAAAAUCGACCUCUAACUUAAGGUUUUCACCCAAUUUUCAUCCCAUUAGUCUCAGACAGUCCACACAAACAUUAACACACACGAAAUCCACAUUUAUCUUCAAGUUUUCCUACAACAGUGCAAUCAUCCAAACAUCCUAAAUUUGGUUUAAGGGUAUUGUGAUAUUUAAUGGUUUUUGGGUUUAGCAUCUAAGUUCUCUAGUUCAACCUAUAAGCGUGAAUCAACCUCCUCAUGUACAAUGCUACAAUCAACUCACGUGAAAAAAAAUAAUUUCCAUUUCACAUGAAUAAGCAAAAAUCUAACUCAAAUACAUAACUCAUCCACAAUUCAUAAAUCAACGCAUGUUUUCAAUUGCACAUAUCAAUACCGACAAUGUUAUCUAACACACACAAGCAUGCAAAAACACGAAAUGAAUUUUUUUUUAUAAUAAAAACACAAACACAUAAAAUAAGCAAAUCACACAUAAGCAUUCGAGAAACUCAACAAUAUGCAAAUGAUGUCACUCCCCCAAACUUAACUGAAACAUUGUCCUCAAUGUGAAAUUUAAAGGAAAAGGAGGAGGACUUUCCUGAAAUGUCAGUAUUGCCUAUGAUGUUGUGGUGUCUUGGUGUUGUAUUUGAUUGACUCUUCUUCUACAUUUUCCCCCAAACUUGAGUUUUGUCCCAUUUUCUCCAUGUCCAUGUUGGUUUGAGUGUUCCGCGACGUCAUGUUUCUGAAAAAUUAAAUUUGAAAAAUUAAACUCAUGGAAUAAGGAUUACUUAGCUCAAACAUCUAAUAACCAACUUAAUUACUCCAAUACCUAUGGGUAGAAGGUGUAUGAGUGAUGAUUCCUAAUAAACUAUAAAUUAAACUAUCUUAGAACUUUGAAAAAAAAUAAAUAAAAGCUUGGGUUGCCUCCCAAGAAGCGCUUCUUUUAAGUCAUUAUCUUGACUUGUGCCGCUGGUUUAUCAUGGUGGCUCAAACUAAGUUAUUUCAUCAUUACACUCUGUGCAAUUUUCAUUGAUGCAGUCCUUUUUUGCUCUCCAAAUUUUGAUUUGUCCAUUCUUAUCUCUACCAAGAAGUUCUCCAAAAUUUGUUGUUUUAUUCUGACAGCUUCGUUGAUCAGCUGGCUCUUCUUCAUCAAUUCUAUAGCAAUCAUUUUUAUUGGGAGGUUUCUCAUAUUGGAUGUAAAUAUUGAAUAUCUCCUGCUUGUCCUCCACCCUCAAGAUUAGUUCUCCCUUCUCCAUGUCAAUAAGGGUUCGUCCCAUUGCUAAGAAUGGUCGACCCAAUAUAAUUGGAAUGUCUCGAUCUUCUGGUAUGUCCAAUACAAUGGAAUCUACAGGAAAUAUUAAAUUUCCUGCUUUGACGAGUACAUCCUCAACUUUGCCACGUAGCCUUGUGAUUGUUCUAUCAACGAGUUGUAGCGUUAUUGAUGUUGAGUUGACUUCACCUAGUCCCAAUUUCCUGUAAGUAGAAUACGACAUUAGAUUGAUACUAGCACCAGUGUCACACAAUGCAUUAGUUGAAUAGGAAUUUACAAUUGAAACUGGUAAAGUAAAACUCCUUGGAUCUUUCAAUUUAGGAGGCAAUUUUCUCUGGACUCUUGCACUACUUUCCUCAGUUAAUGCCACAGUUUCAAACUCCGGAAGUUUUCUUUUCUUUGUCAACGUCUCUCUCAAAAAUUUCUUAUAGCUUGGAGUUUGUAGUAUCGCAUCUAUGAACGGAACAUUGAUCUGGAGCUUCUUGAGAACAUCGAGGAAUUUUUCAUAGUUUGUGUCUUGUUUGUUCUUCUUGAGCUUUUAAGGAAAGGGAAUGAGAGGCAUGUAAGCUUUGUCUAGACUUGGUGUUUUGGCAACUGAUGUUUCUGUACCUCCUCUAUUUUCAGUUGCAUUUGGUGCAGAUUUUUCUACCCUUGUAGUUUCAGCAAUCACUUCUUGGUCAUCUUUUCUUUCGGGUCUCUCUAUAGUGAUCUCUGGUGAUUGUACCUCACUCUUUGUAUUUAUGACAUGAAUAUUUUGCUCCAUCGACUUCUUUCGAAGUCUUUGGGGAAACGGAAGUGGAGGUACAUAUGCUUUAACUUUUACGGGGGCCCUGGGUGGAUCAUUCUGGACUACUUCAAUUGACAUCAACUGUUCCUUAGGAUUUAUCAUUGUAUUGCCUGGCAAUGUCCCUUGUGGACGUUCUGCAAGUUGUUGUGCUAUCUGACCAAUUUGUGUCUCCAGUUUUUUGAUGGAUGCCUGCUGAUUUUGAAAGUUCGUGUCAAUUUGUUGGAACACCUUGUCCGUCUUCUGCACAUAUUGUUGAAACAUCUCCCCCAAACUUGGUCUUCUUUCUUGUUGGAAAUUGUUACCAUAUGAGUUGAAAUUACGGGAGCUAUUUUGAAUAAAGUUUACUUGUUCCUCUGAAGAAGUGAGCAUCAUGCAGCUCUCUGUAGUGUGAUUUCUCCCACAAUUCUCACAUGCUGAACUUACCAUCAUUGCAUUUGCUCCAUGUGUUUGCAAUUUUACAAGUAACUCUACCUGUUUUGUUAAAGCUGCUAUCUAUGCGCUGGUAGAUGUUGUGCUGUCUAAUUCAUACAUUCCUCCUGCCUUUGGUGGUACCACUCUUUCUGAUGAGAACAUUGAAUGUGUGGUGGCAAUUAACUCAAAUAGGUCCAUGGUUUGUUGCACUGAUUUCCCUAUGAUUGAUCCACCAGCAGAGGCAUCAACUUGAGAUUUUGACAAUGGUGUAAGUCCAAUGUAGAAGUACUGCACUUGGUUUCCUUGAGUGAUUCCAUGGUUUGGACAUUUUCUCAUCAGCUCAUUAAAUCUAUUCCAUGCCUCGUGAUAGCUUUCUCCCUCUUUCUGUUGAAAAGUCUGAAUUUCCAAUCUGAUUUUAGCUACUCUGGCUGGUGGGAAGAAUUUGUUGCAAAAUUUUCUGAUAAGUUCUUCCCAUGUAGUAAUGCUGGCAUGAGGUUCCGCAUCUAACCACUCCAAUGCAGCAUCUCUCAAUGUAAAUGGAAAUAGUCGUAGUUUAAUAGCAUCUUCAUUGACCCCCGGAGUAUGGAAGUUCUGACAAUUUCUGAGAAAUCUGGAGAUAUGUGUGUUUGGAUUCUCUUGAGGUAGCCCGUAGAAUUGCAGGGUGUUGCUCAUCAAGUUAAUCCAAUCUGGCCUGAUCUGAAAGUUAUUCACCCCAAAAUCUGGAUACACGAUACUGGAGCGCAUGGGUGCUGCUAUAGGUGUCAGGAACAUUGAUACUGGCAAAUCCCCUUCAUUUAUUUCCCUUCGUUCAUGUUGUUGUUCCGGUGGUGCCACCACUCUUGCGGCCAUUUGCCCAAUCGGCUGAAUAGGGAUAUGGAUUUGUUGAUUGUCAGCCAUUUGAUGUUGCUGUUUUUGUUUGUGUUCCUUGCGUUUUCGUCUGAAGGUACGUUCUAUCUCCGAAUCAAACGGUUCAAGAUCGUCGCCUUGGGCACGGAGCAUACAACGAAAACACUUUUCUGUAAAUAAAAGAAAAAUAAACUAAUCAAAUAACAGCCAAAAGAAAAAAAAUAAAUUAAGACUAAAAGAAAUAGUCCCGGCAACGGCGCCAAAAACUUGUUGUAAAAUUUUGUUUCGCAAGUGUACGAUCCGUAACAAGUAAUAGUGGACCUAAGAGUCCGGUUAUCGAUCCCACAAGGACUAUUUUGUAGCACUUAAUUUAAUCUUUCUUUAACUACUAUUUGACGAAUGUAAAUAAAAAAACAAUGAUUAAAUGUGAUUUUUAUUCUAAAGACUAAAAAAUGUGAUUGGAUUCAAUGAAAAGUGAUUGAAAAUUCAAACAAUAAAUGGACGUUAGGGCGGAACAAUUUCACCUAUUGGUCACCUUUACUUCAUAAAUCAAGAUUCAUAAAACCUAAGGUAGUGUUCGGUCGAAUUCUUCUAUUGUAUUCAACUUACCCCUCUCGAGUUCUCAUUGAGCCUACUUAAUUAGUUUAAUUCCAUAUCUCUAUGUAAAUUAAAUUUAAUUAAACGAAACAUUGGUUCUAAGAAUUCACACCCGACCGCAGCAAUCAAUAUAGGUAUCUCUACACAUUAUAUCAAUUUACCGGAUUUUAACAUGUGGUCUAAACAAAUAAUCCGCAUCUCUACGCAAUCAAUGUUCACAAAUCAUCUAAUUAGUGAUCAAGUAAUUAAAUGUAUUAAAAACAAUAUUAAAAUCAACACAUGAAAUAAAAAAGUACUAGAAUCUCAAUUGCAUGAAAUAAAGGGUUCCAAAAGAUUACAUUGUUCGCCCUAACAUGAAAUUUAACUACUCAUAAUAAUGGAAGAAAAAUAGGAGAUUGUCUUAGAAUACAUCACCGAGUUUGAAAUAAAGAUGUGGAAGAAAAAAUGGAAUUCUUGCACCAAGAUCUCCUUCCUCUUCCAAUGAGUGCUUCCAAUCUUCAAUUCUUGGUAUUAAUCUUCUUAAAUUUCUCCCUUGAAUCUCCCUUCUUGUUGUUUUUCUCUCCAAUAUGUCAAGAACCCUUCAAAAGUAUGAGGAGGAUGUAUUUAUAGGUGCCUCCACGUUUUUAUGUUGAAGUAGGGUUUCUAUAGCUUUAAAAACGGCCCAAAAAAACGCGCCCUAAAUCGCCAAUCGCAGCGCCUAGGCGCUGGCUAUAGCGCCUGGGCACCGUGUCUUCAGCGCCUAGGCGCUGGCUAUAGCACCUGGGCGCCGUGUCUUCAGCGUCGAGGCGCUGGUGGUAGCGCCUGGGCGCUAUGGUUGUAGCGCCUAGGCGCUGCCUCUCGGGUCCAAUUUUCAUCUUUUCUUCGUUUUGUAGCGCCUAGGCGCUAUAAGUGUAGCGCCUAAGCGCCAUCUUUCUGCCCCAAUUCCGUGUUUUUGGCCUCUUCAUCCACUUUAAUACUUCUUUUCUCAUUGCUUCUCCUUAUCUUCAAAACAACACUAACAAACACAUCAAAAACGUUCUACACUCAUAAAAUCUAGUAUUUAAUCCAGCUAAAAUUGUGCGAAAACCAUGAGUGAAACAAACUCAUCAAGCACUAUCAACGAGCUCGACCUGAUCUUUCAAUAUAUUUUUGUGCUUCGAAUCCCAAAAGUCAGUCUUAGUGAAUGUCCACCCCAUUGACCCCCUCUAUCAGGUUUGAACAAGUAGCAAUGCAAACAAUAAGCCGCAUCAUUUUCUAUACUGUACUCCAACCAAUAAAAUUUAGAAGACCAUUCUUUCCGAAAACAUCUAUAAUUAUUUCCUAUCUGUCUUUUUAGAAUCAUUGACAAUGACCUUUUUCCAAGUAUGUCAUCCUAACAUCAUCUCUGAUAUUAUGAUCAUAUGACUCGAUAGGGAGGCGUUUUCCCGGAUCAUGACAUAAGAUCAUCCACAUUGAAUUGAGCCCGAUACUUCUUUAUGUUAUUUAACAACUCGUGUGCUUAGCUAGAAAAAGUGGCGGGACUAGAAGCACAACUAGAACUAGGUAGAGACUUUUGUUUCGGUUGAAAAAAUCGUUCCAUAAUCUGCAAAAUGCCCCAAUUUAAUUUUCAAUUACAAUUGAUUAAAAAAUCAACAAUUCAAC